RNAcentral lists this ribosomal RNA (251 nucleotides) under uncultured prokaryote. RNAcentral's name for it is "partial 16S rRNA". It matches the Rfam family "Bacterial small subunit ribosomal RNA", at positions 525 to 775 of the family's 1533-position model. The record is from RNAcentral.
ACGGGGGUUGCGAGCGUUGUCCGGAAUUACUAGGCGUAAAGGGCGGGUAGGCGGAUCUAUAAGUUUGUUGUUAAAGCCCCGGGCUUAACUCGGGAAGGGCGCUCGAAACGAUGGAUCUUGAGAACGGGAGGGGAACGGGGAAUUCCCAGUGUAGAGGUGAAAUGCGUAGAUAUUGGGAGGAACACCGGUGGCGAAGGCGCUCAUCUGGACCGUUACUGACGCUGAGCCGCGAAAGUGUGGGUAGCAAACAG